Small nuclear RNA from Nycticebus coucang (slow loris), 106 nucleotides. Lineage: Eukaryota; Metazoa; Chordata; Mammalia; Primates; Lorisidae. The record is from RefSeq and is a predicted model, not a curated record.
GUGCUUGCUUUGACAGCACAUUUACUAAAACUGGAAUAAUACAGAGAAGAUUAGAAUGGACCUGCACAAAUAUGUGCUGUAUUAUUUAAAAUCUCCAAAAAGGAAG